AGAUUCCUCAUGCACCUAUAGUUGUAUGGUCUGCAGUGAGGUAGCCGAUGCCAGAGCUGUGUCCUCCCUCCAUAGAAGCCAGGAGAAAGGCCAGACUGAAGUGACCUGCUGAAGCCUUUGUCUUUUGACAUUGAAUUCCGUUUGCCCACUGCCAUCAAGACUGCUUUUAAGGAGCUUCUGCGACAUGAUCUCUUACAGGAACCUGAAGGGCCGAGAAGUCCUGCUGUGUUUGGUGCCAUCAUCUCUUACUUUGAACAGUUUUUUGAAACUGUUGGAAUUUCUCUGGCAAAUCAACAGUUGGCAAACUCUCGUGCGCAGAACCAGAGAUGAGUCCAUCUCAGCAACAGAAUGUCGCCAGCUCUGCACACACGUUUAUGUUCAAAGACUCUCAGAAUGUGCAGAAGUCACAGGCACAUACGUUUCAGGAGACGGCAGCGAGGCUACCUUGCAUGGUGUGGUGGACGAGCUGGUGCGGUUCCGGCAGAAGGUCCGGCAGUUUGCGCUGGCCAUGCCCGAGGCCACGGGGGACGCCCGGCGGCAGCAGCUCCUAGAAAGGCAGCCCCUGCUGGAAGCAUGCGACACCCUGCGCCGGGGCCUGACUGCCCACGGCAUCAACAUCAAGGACAGAAGCAGUACAACAUCCACGU
This 647-nucleotide long non-coding RNA is filed under the name Homo sapiens (human). RNAcentral's name for it is "non-protein coding lnc-CARS2-2:11". Lineage: Eukaryota; Metazoa; Chordata; Mammalia; Primates; Hominidae. The record is from RNAcentral.